Molecule: ribosomal RNA, 331 nt
Filed under: uncultured bacterium
Lineage: Bacteria
Description: bacterial SSU rRNA
Rfam family: Bacterial small subunit ribosomal RNA
Source: RNAcentral
AGCGUAGGCGGGAGAGCAAGUUGAAUGUGAAAUCUAUAGGCUUAACUUAUAGACUGCGUUCAAAACUGCUUUUCUUGAGUGAAGUAGAGGUAAGCGGAAUUCCUAGUGUAGCGGUGAAAUGCGUAGAUAUUAGGAGGAACACCAGUGGCGAAGGCGGCUUACUGGGCUUUAACUGACGCUGAGGCUCGAAAGCGUGGGUAGCAAACAGGAUUAGAUACCCUGGUAGUCCACGCUGUAAACGAUGAUUACUAGGUGUGGGGGGUUUAAAGCCUUCCGUGCCGGAGUUAACACAAUAAGUAAUCCACCUGGGGAGUACGAUCGCAAGAUUGAA